UCAAAGAGAGUUUAAUGAGCUUAGCAAUAUGUGAAAAGGAUUAAGGAUACAGUCGCUGAUCCAGCAAAUCACUUGAUUACAUACUUAAUUCAAUAGGGCCACUUGUGCUCAAAGUUCAGCGUGUGCCCACAAGCUUUGGCUGGGCAGUGGGUGGCUGAAGUGCUGCUGUGGGACUGGGGCACCCAAGUCUGGAUCUGGCCCCUCAAUGCUUACCCCUAAACCCAAGCGUGUGCCCCGUCUGCCACCGCUCUCCUGCUCUGAAGCAGCUCCCAGCAUACACCCUGGGCACACAGCUGAGGUGCCUGAGUUGCAGAAAAUGGGGAAAUUUGGCUAGUUUUGGCCAGCACUCAUCCUCCUGCGGGGCUGGAAGGUAAAUGUCACAUGCAGCCCUGCAGAGCCCCAAAUCUCCCGUUCUCCUUCUGGUUCAUCUAACACUGCUCCCGAUGGGGUUGGGACACCGAGCUUGCAGCCCUCAUUCUGCAGCACCCAGUUCCUCCUCAGAUAUUUGCAUCUGAAACCAGACAGGAAAACACCAGUGUGGGUUCAGGCUUCUCAAGGGAAGGCGUUUGUCAUCGAGGGGGUUGAGAAAAACAGGGAACGAGCACGGUGGUAAAAGCACAGACAAGUUGCAGCAAGUGUCUGGAGCCGUCCGGCCCUGGGGACACGGAGCUGCCCUGGGGAGCCCCGGUCAUCUGCCCCAACGGGGGAAGUCAUGUUUUCACAGGGAAAGGUUAUUAGCAAUCGAACAACAACAAAGCUGUCUGCAGCCCAAAGCAGACUGUUGCAAUUAGGAACUGAUGUUAGCAAAGCACAGAGUGGAUGUGAUUGACCUGCAAGGGGGAGAUGGGAGCUGUUACACCAAUGCGGAGACACAAGUCAUCUUUGAAGGAUCUUGGAAGGGUGCCCUGGGGAAUACAAACCAAGCAGAACACACAGCAUAAGUGCUGGUUGCAGGCAUCUGACAUACGUAGACAUAUGGGACUCACGUGUGACUCACGUUGACUGAAGACAAGGAGUUAUAUCAAGGAGAAAAAAACAUUCCUGGGAUCUAUUGCAGAGGUGGGGAAAUCUCAUUCUAAUGUUAUUACAGACACUCGGUAGUCACAAAUAAAGACCUUCUUCAUUCUCUGCA
RNAcentral lists this long non-coding RNA (1132 nucleotides) under Anser brachyrhynchus (Pink-footed goose). Its description in RNAcentral is "lncRNA (ENSABRG00000002029.1)". The record is from RNAcentral. Lineage: Eukaryota; Metazoa; Chordata; Aves; Anseriformes; Anatidae.